RNAcentral lists this ribosomal RNA (443 nucleotides) under uncultured bacterium. Its description in RNAcentral is "partial 16S ribosomal RNA". It matches the Rfam family "Bacterial small subunit ribosomal RNA", at positions 338 to 795 of the family's 1533-position model. The record is from RNAcentral.
CCUACGGGCGGCUGCAGUGGGGAAUAUUGGGCAAUGGGCGCCAGCCUGACCCAGCAACGCCGCGUGAAGGAAGAAGGCUUUCGGGUUGUAAACUUCUUUUCUCAGGGACGAAGCAAGUGACGGUACCUGAGGAAUAAGCCACGGCUAACUACGUGCCAGCAGCCGCGGUAAUACGUAGGUGGCAAGCGUUAUCCGGAUUUACGGGGUGUAAAGGGCGUGGAGGCGGGAAAGCAAGUCAGAUGUGAAAACCAUGGGCUCAACCUGUGGCCUGCAUUUGAAACUGUUUUUCUUGAGUACUGGAGAGGCAGACGGAAUUCCUAGUGUAGCGGUGAAAUGCGUAGAGAUUAGGAGGAACACCAGUGGCGAAGGCGGUCUGCUGGACAGCAACUGACGCUGAGGCGCGAAAGCGUGGGGAGCAAACAGGAUUAGAUACCCCGGUAGUC